GGGGUAUGGUUCUUCGGAACCGAGACCGGCGCACGGGUGCUUAACGCGUAUGCAAUCUACCUUUUACAGAGGGAUAGCCCAGAGAAAUUUGGAUUAAUACCUCAUAGCAUAGCGACUUCGCAUGAAGACGCUAUUAAAGUCACAACGGUAAAAGAUGAGCAUGCGUCCCAUUAGCUAGUUGGUAAGGUAACGGCUUACCAAGGCUACGAUGGGUAGGGGUCCUGAGAGGGAGAUCCCCCACACUGGUACUGAGACACGGACCAGACUCCUACGGGAGGCAGCAGUGAGGAAUAUUGGACAAUGGGCGCAAGCCUGAUCCAGCCAUGCCGCGUGCAGGAUGACGGUCCUAUGGAUUGUAAACUGCUUUUAUACGAGAAGAAACACUCCAACGUGUUGGAGCUUGACGGUAUCGUAAGAAUAAGGAUCGGCUAACUCCGUGCCAGCAGCCGCGGUAAUACGGAGGAUCCAAGCGUUAUCCGGAAUCAUUGGGUUUAAAGGGUCCGUAGGCGGUUUAGUAAGUCAGUGGUGAAAGCCCAUCGCUCAACGGUGGAACGGCCAUUGAUACUGCUAAACUUGAAUAUU
This 582-nucleotide ribosomal RNA is filed under the name Flavobacterium sp. FlavoEI_XT4Fr1BA4_B02_10. RNAcentral describes it as "bacterial SSU rRNA". It matches the Rfam family "Bacterial small subunit ribosomal RNA", at positions 64 to 650 of the family's 1533-position model. Lineage: Bacteria; Pseudomonadati; Bacteroidota; Flavobacteriia; Flavobacteriales; Flavobacteriaceae. The record is from RNAcentral.